UACGUAGGGUGCGAGCGUUGCCCGGAUUUAUUGGGCGUAAAGGGCGCGUAGGCGGCCACGCACGUCCGUUGUGAAAUCGCCCGGCUCAACUGGGCGGGGUCAGCGGAUACGGUGUGGCUCGAGCAAGCUAGGGGGCAAUGGAAUUCCCGGUGUAGUGGUGGAAUGCGUAGAUAUCGGAAGGAACACCAGUGGCGAAGGCGGCUACCUGGGCGAAUACUGACACUGAGGCACGAAAGCGUGGGGAGCAAACAGG
This 253-nucleotide ribosomal RNA is filed under the name uncultured bacterium. RNAcentral describes it as "partial 16S ribosomal RNA". It matches the Rfam family "Bacterial small subunit ribosomal RNA", at positions 524 to 776 of the family's 1533-position model. The record is from RNAcentral.